GACGAACGCUGGCGGCGUGCUUAACACAUGCAAGUCGAACGGAAAGGCCCUGCUUUUGUGGGGUGCUCGAGUGGCGAACGGGUGAGUAACACGUGAGUAACCUGCCCUUGACUUUGGGAUAACUUCAGGAAACUGGGGCUAAUACCGGAUAGGAGCUCUUGCUGCAUGGUGGGGGUUGGAAAGUUUCGGCGGUUGGGGAUGGACUCGCGGCUUAUCAGCUUGUUGGUGGGGUAGUGGCUUACCAAGGCUUUGACGGGUAGCCGGCCUGAGAGGGUGACCGGCCACAUUGGGACUGAGAUACGACCCAGACUCCUACGGGAGGCAGCAGUGGGGAAUAUUGCACAAUGGGCGGAAGCCUGAUGCAGCAACGCCGCGUGCGGGAUGACGGCCUUCGGGUUGUAAACCGCUUUCGCCUGUGACGAAGCGUGAGUGACGGUAAUGGGUAAAGAAGCACCGGCUAACUACGUG
Molecule: ribosomal RNA, 468 nt
Filed under: uncultured bacterium
Lineage: Bacteria
Description: partial 16S ribosomal RNA
Rfam family: Bacterial small subunit ribosomal RNA
Source: RNAcentral